AUUUAAACUGCCACAUACACUCCUACGAACAAGAAACUCAUCCCAUUGAUCUUUAAUAAAAAUUUCACAUCUAACGACAAGCAUUAAAGUGUCCGUCAACACUGUAAUCUCGGUGCUAAGGCUGCACAUUAUUCCUCAACAUCCUUAGCAAGUAAAUUCAUUGUCAUUAUCCAUUGGUGGAAAGCGUUGAGCGAAGUAGGUAUCGAAGCAUGGAAAAUAUCCGUUUUAAUUGACAGUUGUUAUG
Molecule: long non-coding RNA, 244 nt
Organism: Glossina fuscipes
Lineage: Eukaryota; Metazoa; Arthropoda; Insecta; Diptera; Glossinidae
Exons: 3
Source: RefSeq, a predicted model, not a curated record